Molecule: ribosomal RNA, 429 nt
Filed under: Gemmatimonadota bacterium
Lineage: Bacteria; Pseudomonadati; Gemmatimonadota
Description: Gemmatimonadetes bacterium partial 16S ribosomal RNA
Rfam family: Bacterial small subunit ribosomal RNA
Source: RNAcentral
UAGGGAAUCUUCGGCAAUGGACGAAAGUCUGACCGAGCAACGCCGCGUGAGUGAAGAAGGUUUUCGGAUCGUAAAACUCUGUUGUUAGAGAAGAACAAGGACGUUAGUAACUGAACGUCCCCUGACGGUAUCUAACCAGAAAGCCACGGCUAACUACGUGCCAGCAGCCGCGGUAAUACGUAGGUGGCAAGCGUUGUCCGGAUUUAUUGGGCGUAAAGCGAGCGCAGGCGGUUUCUUAAGUCUGAUGUGAAAGCCCCCAGCUCAACCGGGGAGGGUCAUUGGAAACUGGGAGACUUGAGUGCAGAAGAGGAGAGUGGAAUUCCAUGUGUAGCGGUGAAAUGCGUAGAUAUAUGGAGGAACACCAGUGGCGAAGGCGGCUCUCUGGUCUGUAACUGACGCUGAGGCUCGAAAGCGUGGGGAGCAAACAGG